AACAGGUAAGAAACACUUUUAAAAACCUUAGUUUAGGUUUUAAAUACUCAAAGCCAUUUCUGUGACAAAUAGAGGACACAUUCAGGGCUUCGGUCUGCUGCAGCUAAUGGUAACGUUAGUUAAUGUCGUCGCCGAGCUAAUGUAGUCGCCGAGAGUUAGUUGUUUUGACAGUGACAACGUGGUGUUGACACACGCCGACUCGGUGCUCAACGAGACGGCGGAAUAUAAUUCCACCGGCCCAUCACUAUCAUGUACCGGCCCAUCAUCCGAAAUGAUUAACACAGCGGCACAAGCAUAAUUUUCUCCAAGAGCUAUACCUAUGUUAAUUUGUCUGACUGACUGAGUUUUAUACUGCUACUCGCAAUCGGUCUUCCCACUCAUGGUAACUAUUUUUCGAUUUUUUUUUUAAGUGUCUUCUAAUAUGUGUUUUACAGACUUCGGAAGUCCAAAGUAAGAAAAGAUCUCAACCUUAUUAAUAAACACCUCUAAAUUGGUUCUUACACAGCCGAAGUGUUCUCAACUGUGCGGAUUGAGGUAGAGAAUUUGGAUUUGCAUACAUACACGCAACGCGGCACCCAGUUCUACGCAUGCGCUCAACCCAUGAGGCCCAGUGAUGCUGGUGGCGAUACGAUACAACGACCUACCCAAAGAUGACAGAGAGAAGGAGAGGGAGGAGAAAAACUCCUGAUCAGGAUGCUAUUGACCACAUUACCAUUGGAGAAGACAAAUCUUUCCUGGAAGGAAGAUUUAUUAACACACAUAAAGGGAGAGGUGUGCUUACACAAGACUACAUUGAACCAAAAAGUUUUGUGGUGGAGUAUCGUGGAGUUUUGUCUCUGAGCGACAGUGCAGAUGACAAAAACAGCAAAUAUGCAUUUGAGUUCAUGUGGAAUGGGAAGCACUAUUGGUAAGAUUGCUGCUUGUUCAUCAACGUCUUACUUGUUCAAAGAGAAGUUGUGUUUUUUUUGUAGGGUACAUUCAAUAACAACAA
Molecule: long non-coding RNA, 991 nt
Filed under: Gadus morhua (Atlantic cod)
Lineage: Eukaryota; Metazoa; Chordata; Actinopteri; Gadiformes; Gadidae
Description: lncRNA (ENSGMOG00000029853.1)
Source: RNAcentral